GAUGAAGAACGCAGCGAAAUGCGAUACGUAAUGUGAAUUGCAAAUUCAGUGAAUCAUCGAGUCUUUGAACGCACAUUGCGCCCCCUGGUAUUCCGGGGGGCAUGCCUGUCCGAGCGUCAUUGCUGCCCUCAAGCACGGCUUGUGUGUUGGGCCCCGUCCUCCGAUCCCGGGGGACGGGCCCGAAAGGCAGCGGCGGCACCGCGUCCGGUCCUCGAGCGUAUGGAGCUUUGUCACCCGCUCUGUAGGCCCGGCCGGCGCUUGCCGAUCAACCCAAAUUUUUUAUCCAGGUUGACCUCGGAUCAGGUAGGGAUACCCGCUGAACCUAAGCAUAUCAAUAAGCGGAGGA
This 346-nucleotide unclassified non-coding RNA is filed under the name soil metagenome. RNAcentral describes it as "partial contains 5.8S ribosomal RNA, internal transcribed spacer 2, and large subunit ribosomal RNA". The stretch from base 1 to 119 matches the Rfam family "5.8S ribosomal RNA", at positions 35 to 154 of the family's 154-position model. The record is from RNAcentral.